RNAcentral lists this ribosomal RNA (154 nucleotides) under Delairea odorata (cape-ivy). RNAcentral describes it as "5.8S ribosomal RNA". It matches the Rfam family "5.8S ribosomal RNA". From Rfam's summary of the family: 5.8S ribosomal RNA (5.8S rRNA) is a component of the large subunit of the eukaryotic ribosome. It is transcribed by RNA polymerase I as part of the 45S precursor that also contains 18S and 28S rRNA. Functionally, it is thought that 5.8S rRNA may be involved in ribosome translocation. Lineage: Eukaryota; Viridiplantae; Streptophyta; Magnoliopsida; Asterales; Asteraceae. The record is from RNAcentral.
UCGGCAACGGAUAUCUCGGCUCACGCAUCGAUGAAGAACGUAGCAAAAUGCGAUACUUGGUGUGAAUUGCAGAAUCCCGUGAACCAUCGAGUUUUUGAACGCAAGUUGCGCCCGAAGCCUUUUGGCCGAGGGCACGUCUGCCUGGGCGUCACAC